Molecule: long non-coding RNA, 1116 nt
Organism: Ruditapes philippinarum (Manila clam)
Lineage: Eukaryota; Metazoa; Mollusca; Bivalvia; Venerida; Veneridae
Exons: 3
Source: RefSeq, a predicted model, not a curated record
GGCUGUCAGACAAAAAUGAUCGGAAACGAUCAUAAACUGAUCGGACUGAACUUAACUUUAAUGGAGGAAAAUUUUACAAUAAUAGAGCUAUAAGCAAAUACAAUAUUGACUAUUUCCAAAAAUUCUCUACCUUUUGUGAUGUAAAUUAACAGUAAUUUCUUGUGUACCAAAACGGAACAUCUGCUGCCUACUUAGUGUUUACAGAAACUAACCGAUGCAACAGCUAUAAAUAGCCAAUAAUGCAAAGUACAAAAUGGCAGCGUACAGUAAAUUUCCAACACACGAAAAUUACAUUUCAAGGAAAAUACAGUGAAAUAUGUGGAUUUUAACAAAGUUACUUGGCAGUUUGUUAAAGAAUUACAUUCUUCAACUGAGAAAACCAGACUUUACAUAAAAAUACAAACAUUUAAGGAAUUAUGACAGCUUAAAGUCAAGAUUAAAAGGAUUGUUUACAAACAGUUACUGCUAAAGUGUCACGGAUAAGGACUUCUGUUUAAAUGAGCUAAAGUGUGUUGUUUAAAAGUCAAUGCACAGUUUAUUUUUCAUUUUAUGCCUUGUUAAGACAACAACUAGUACUAGUUUCACAACCCACUGAUAAAGUAAUGUUCAUGUAGAAAUUAUAUAAUUACGGAGGUACAUAGUACCGGCGAUGCCAACAUUUACUACGAGUACUUCUUACCCGAAAUCCCCUCAUCGCAACAACUUUCCUCAAAACAAUAGACCGACUGUAUGGCAUCGAUUAGUGCAGCAGAUCCAUUUAGAUUUUGAAGCUGAGCAAAAAGAAGCAAAAAUGGCGACAGAAAGAGAACAUGAAUCCGCACAAAGAGAAACGGAGAAGAUUGAUCAAAGGGAUGCUCUAUGGAAUGAAUUGAACAACAGUACCGGGGGAUAUGAACACUAAAGGAUGUGUGUACGAAGAGGAAGAGGAGCCUGAUUUUUGGGAGUUUAUGAAACGACUAGGAAAAGAAACGGACGACGCAAUACAGCUGAUAAUGGAACAGGAGGAGAAUUAUUUUGUAGCUCGAUUUGAUUUUCAUGGACUGUUUGUAGAUUUUUUAAAUUGAUUUUUUUGUUUCAUUUCAUUUUUUUUUAAUUAUGAUUGGUAAUUUGCGGAAA